GACGAACGCUGGCGGCGCGCCUAACACAUGCAAGUCGAACGGAGCUUAGAGAGCUUGCUUUUUAAGCUUAGUGGCGAACGGGUGAGUAACGCGUGAGUAACCUGCCCUAGAGUGGGUGACAACAGUUGGAAACGACUGCUAAUACCGCAUAAGCCCACGGUACCGCAUGGCACUGAGGGAAAAGGAUUUAUUCGCUUUAGGAUGGACUCGCGUCCAAUUAGCUAGUUGGUGAGGUAACGGGCCCACCAAGGCGACGAUUGGUAGCCGGACUGAGAGGUUGAACGGCCACAUUGGGACUGAGACACGGCCCAGACUCCUACGGGAGGCAGCAGUGGGGGAUAUUGCACAAUGGGGGAAACCCUGAUGCAGCGACGCCGCGUGGAGGAAGAAGGUUUUCGGAUUGUAAACUCCUGUCGUUAGGGACGAUAAUGACGGUACCUAACAAGAAAGCACCGGCUAACUACGUGCCAGCAGCCGCGGUAAAACGUAGGGUGCAAGCGUUGUCCGGAAUUACUGGGUGUAAAGGGAGCGCAGGCGGGAAGACAAGUUGGAAGUGAAAACCAUGGGCUCAACCCAUGAAUUGCUUUCAAAACUGUUUUUCUUGAGUAGUGCAGAGGUAGAUGGAAUUCCCGGUGUAGCGGUGGAAUGCGUAGAUAUCGGGAGGAACACCAGUGGCCCAGGCGGUCUUCUGGGCUCCCUCUGACGCUGAGGCUCGAAAGCCUGGGUCGCCAACAAGAUUCGUUNCCCUGUAGUCCCAUGCCCGUAAACGAUGAUUAUAGGGGUGUUGGGGGAUUGACCCCCUCAGUGCCGCAGUUAACACAAUAAGUAAUCCACCUGGGGAGUACGACCGCAAGGUUGAAACUCAAAGGAAUUGACGGGGGCCCGCACAAGCAGUGGAGUAUGUGUUUAAUUCGAAGCAACGCGAAGAACCUUACCAGGUCUUGACAUCCGAUGCAUAGCACAGAGAUGUGUGAAAUCCUUCGGGACAUCGAGACAGGUGGUGCAUGGUUGUCGUCAGCUCGUGUCGUGAGAUGUUGGGUUAAGUCCCGCAACGAGCGCAACCCUUAUUGCCAGUUACUACGUUAAGAGGACUCUGGCGAGACUGCCGUUGACAAAACGGAGGAAGGUGGGGAUGACGUCAAAUCAUCAUGCCCUUUAUGACCUGGGCUACACACGUACUACAAUGGCGUUAAACAAAGAGAAGCAAGACCGCGAGGUGGAGCAAAACUCAAAAACAACGUCUCAGUUCAGAUUGCAGGCUGCAACUCGCCUGCAUGAAGUCGGAAUUGCUAGUAAUCGCGGAUCAGCAUGCCGCGGUGAAUACGUUCCCGGGCCUUGUAC
This 1341-nucleotide ribosomal RNA is filed under the name uncultured bacterium. RNAcentral's name for it is "16S ribosomal RNA". It matches the Rfam family "Bacterial small subunit ribosomal RNA", at positions 28 to 1386 of the family's 1533-position model. The record is from RNAcentral.